GCUAGCGUAGCUUAAAUUAAAGCAUAACACUGAAGAUGUUAAAAUAGGCCUAAAAAGCCUCGAAAGCA
RNAcentral lists this transfer RNA (68 nucleotides) under Monopterus albus (swamp eel). Its description in RNAcentral is "tRNA (ENSMALG00000000002.1)". It matches the Rfam family "tRNA". From Rfam's summary of the family: Transfer RNA (tRNA) molecules are approximately 80 nucleotides in length. Their secondary structure includes four short double-helical elements and three loops (D, anti-codon, and T loops). The record is from RNAcentral. Lineage: Eukaryota; Metazoa; Chordata; Actinopteri; Synbranchiformes; Synbranchidae.